This 338-nucleotide ribosomal RNA is filed under the name Sceloporus minor. RNAcentral's name for it is "partial 12S ribosomal RNA". It matches the Rfam family "Bacterial small subunit ribosomal RNA", at positions 866 to 1369 of the family's 1533-position model. The record is from RNAcentral. Lineage: Eukaryota; Metazoa; Chordata; Lepidosauria; Squamata; Phrynosomatidae.
UAUCCGCCAGAAAACUACGAGCGAAAAGCUUAAAACUCAAAGGACUUGGCGGUGCUCCACACCGACUUAGAGGAGCCUGUCCUAUAAUCGAUACCCCACGCUAAACCUCACCAAUCUUUGCCAAAUCAGCCUAUAUACCGCCGUCGUCAACCCACCUCAUGAGAGAAAAACAGUGAGUACAAAAGUUUAAUAACUAAAACGUCAGGUCAAGGUGUAGCUAAUAGAAUGGAAGAGAUGGGCUACAUUUUUUAAAGUAAAACACAACGGCACGGUACUAUGAAACCCUUACCCGAAGGAGGAUUUAAUAGUAAAACUAACAAGAAAGUUAAUUUUAAACA